GGAAAUCUCACCAGGCCCGGACACUGGAAGGAUUGACAGAUUGAUAGCUCUUUCUUGUUAGCAAUAACAGGUCUGUGAUGCCCGGCCGUUCUUAGUUGGUGGAGUGAUUUGUCUGGUUAAUUCCGUUAACGAACGAGACCUUAACCUACUAAAUAGUUUGCAAUCUCACCGAUUGCAAUUCUUCUUAGAGGGACUAUAUGUGUUAAGCAUAUGGAAGUUUGAGGCAAUAA
Molecule: ribosomal RNA, 230 nt
Filed under: uncultured eukaryote
Lineage: Eukaryota
Description: partial 18S ribosomal RNA
Rfam family: Eukaryotic small subunit ribosomal RNA
Source: RNAcentral